This 497-nucleotide ribosomal RNA is filed under the name uncultured bacterium. Its description in RNAcentral is "partial 16S ribosomal RNA". It matches the Rfam family "Bacterial small subunit ribosomal RNA", at positions 28 to 507 of the family's 1533-position model. The record is from RNAcentral.
GAUGAACGCUGGCGGCGUGCCUAAUACAUGCAAGUCGAGCGAACAGACGAUGAGCUUGCUCCUCUGACGUUAGCGGCGGACGGGUGAGUAACACGUGGAUAACCUACCUAUAAUACUGGGAUAACUUCGGGAAACCGGAGCUAAUACCAGAUAAUAUAUUGAACCGCAUGGUUCAAUAGUGAAAGACGGUUUUGCUGUCACUUAUAGAUGGAUCCGCGCCGCAUUAGCUAGUUGGUAAGGUAACGGCUUAACAAGGCAACGAUGCGUAGCCGACCUGAGAGGGUGAUCGGCCACAAUGGAACUGAGACACGGUCCAGACUCCUAAGGGAGGCAGCAGUAGGGAAUCUUCCGCAAUGGGCGAAAGCCUGACGGAGCAACGCCGCGUGAGUGAUGAAGGUCUUCGGAGUGUAAAACCCUGUUAUUAGGGAAGAACAAAUGUGUAAGUAACUAUGCACGUCUUGAAGGUAACUAAUAAGAAAGGCACGGCUAACUACGUG